UAUGGUUGUGUGCCAGCAGCCGCGGUAAUACGUAUGGUGCAAGCGUUAUCCGGAUUUACUGGGUGUAAAGGGAGCGCAGGCGGUGCGGCAAGUCUGAUGUGAAAGCCCGGGGCUCAACCCCGGUACUGCAUUGGAAACUGUCGUACUAGAGUGUCGGAGGGGUAAGCGGAAUUCCUAGUGUAGCGGUGAAAUGCGUAGAUAUUAGGAGGAACACCAGUGGCGAAGGCGGCUUACUGGACGAUAACUGACGCUGAGGCUCGAAAGCGUGGGGAGCAAACAGG
RNAcentral lists this ribosomal RNA (281 nucleotides) under Roseburia faecis M72/1. RNAcentral describes it as "partial 16S ribosomal RNA". It matches the Rfam family "Bacterial small subunit ribosomal RNA", at positions 496 to 776 of the family's 1533-position model. The record is from RNAcentral. Lineage: Bacteria; Bacillati; Bacillota; Clostridia; Lachnospirales; Lachnospiraceae.